Molecule: long non-coding RNA, 1691 nt
Filed under: Homo sapiens (human)
Lineage: Eukaryota; Metazoa; Chordata; Mammalia; Primates; Hominidae
Description: non-protein coding lnc-PTP4A2-2:1
Source: RNAcentral
UCCAGGUGGUUUUUAGUCUUUACUGAUGAAAGGGUGUUCAUGUUAGUUUCUUCAAAACCCUAUCUAAUACUAGGCAAAGUAGCCAAGAGCCUUUUGUUUUGUUUUUAUUUUGAUAAAUUAGUGGAGAAAUGGCAUUUUAAGAGGAGUCUCUUCUCAACUUACCUGAGAGUCGAAUUCUUCUCUUCCCUAACCAAUGAAGCUAAGUGGUUAUCCCAGAAACUUGUCUUCUAAAAGGGAGGACUCCAGGCCAUCAAUAAAGAUGUCCAGGCAGUGAGCGUACUUUUUACACCCUGUAGAAUUGUGGGCUGUAGCGUUACUCUGAUUUUCUGUCUAGUAUCAGAGAAUGCUGGUAGCUUAAAAUUUUUAUUUUAGGACUUGUACUCUGAAUUUUCAGGAACCGUCAAAGGAGCAGCAGCAAAUUCACAUAUUUUCGACUUGAGAAAUGCUUGUGGUAUGUGUUUUCCAAACUGCCCCCUAUAUGUAAAGUUCAGUUUAACCACUGAUUGCCUUGUUAUUACUAGGUUUUUUGAGAUUAAAAAAAAAAAAUCCCUGGUUUAAAACCAACAAUGAUGCCUAGUGAGUAUGUGUCCACAGGCCAUAACAGGGUAGAAGAGAGACAUCGUGCAACCCAAUGAGUAGUGAAGGGACUGUGUUGCUUGUGAAGCGGUGUAGUAGCAUUUUUGCAGAUUCUUGGCUGGGUUUAGUGUACUGAUCUAGAAAAGCUGUUUUUCUGCUCCUUUGUGGAAGGCAGUUAUGAUCAGGCUGCAUGGACAAAGCAGGUAGAGGGGCACCAUCAGGGGCUCUUGCACUAUUUUCACCUCUAAAUAUUACGUACUCAGUAGUGCCCUGCUUCUAGGGCUCUGAAUACGGGCUUAAAGUCAUCUUGUCCUGCUGGAAUUUGCUGUGCAGAGCCAUAAGCCUCCCAUUUUGUUAGCGUCAGCUAGGCCAAUAGGAACAGACCGGGACCUUGUCUCACACUGAUGAUACCUCACAUGUUGACCGGCUAUGUGAACUGCCUAUUUCCUAUGCUGGAGUUUUGAUUUUUAACUAAACGCAAAUCUGUAGAUUCUCUCCUCUCCCAUCCCAGAAAACAAAACAAAAUAAUGCUUUUCGAAAUUGUUUCUAGGACUUUAAAACAUAAUGGUAUAUCCAAAAUUCUUUAUUUCAGAAUGCAACAAUAGAUUCCAUUAAUAUAGACUCAAGAUCAAAACAGCAUACCUGCUAAGCUAAGAUAGAUGGUGUUGAUUCCACUGGGUUUUGAUCAAUACAAUAACAAACCUUUUUCCUUUGACAUACUCUGAAUUUUGUUGUUUGGGGGGAGGGGGUGUGUGUGUGUGUGUGUGUGUGUGUGUGUGUAUGUGUGUGUGUGUGUGUGCACGCGCAGUGUCCAUCAGUAUCAGUGCCUGCCUGAGUUAGGAAAAUUACAUUCCUGGUUCUGUAUUGAGGAGAAGGAUGUAUAAAGCAACAUGAAACAUUAGCCCUCCUUUUAUUUUAAAGACUAAUGUUAAUUGUUCUUAAAACUGGAUUUUUUUUCCUUAAAGCAAUUUUUUUCUUUUCGAUUUAAUGAAGUAUUGCUAGCUGAAGCCAGUUUGACAUAGAGAGAUGUCAGAUUGAUUUGAAAGGUGUGCAGCCUGAUUUAAAACCAAACCCUGAACCCUUUUAAAGAACAAUAAAACAUAUUUUACACGCUC